AGAGGAUGGGCGCUGAGCAGCACACAGCCCGCGGCGGGGUCUCAGGAUCCGCGGCGCUGCCCGGGGCCGGGGGAAGGAAGCCAGCCGAGGAGACGCACGUGCCCUGAGUCCGGGAGCGGGGAGCCUCUUCAUCUCUCCAUCCUCCCUCCGCGCGCGCCCUCAGCCGUCCUCGUCCGCUCACCAUGCACCUCCCCCCCAAGAAAGGACCACAUGCGUGCCAGGGACGUGAGCCCCGGCCACAGGGACAUAGCAGCCUAGAAGGGUGAAAUAAUGUUCUUACCACGGUCUCUCCAGCACCAAAAAGAGCCUGGUACAGAGUAGAUACUCAAUGAAUGAGUGCUGAAUCGCUCUGAAUGGAGAGGGGAUGCCCACAACUGCAUCUUUUGCCAGGUGAUGCUUCGCACACUCAAGUUUGAAGAUUAACGGUCCUAGACGUCAAACCUGUUUGCAUGCCAAGUGUCGUUUUAUUUUAAAAUGUCUUCACUUUUUUUUUUUUGGUAGAGAAGGGGGUCUUACUACGUUGCCCAGGCUGGUCUUGAACUCCUGGCCUUAAGUGAUCUUCCCAGCUUGGCCUCCCAAAGUGCUGGGAUUACAGGCACGAGCCACUGCCCCCAGUCCCUUUUUUUUUUUUUUUUUUUUUUUGAGACGGAGUCUUGCUCUGUUGCCAGGCUGGAGUGCAGUGGUGCGAUCUCGGCUCACUGCAACCUCUACCUCCUGGGUCCAAGCGUUUCUCCUGCCUUAGCCUCCCGAGUAGCUGGGACUACAGGCGUGCGACACCACGCCCAGCUAAUUUUUGUAUUUUUAGUAGCGACUGGGUUUCACCAUGUUGGCCAGGAUGGUCUCGAUCUCUUGACCUCGUGAUCCGCCCACCUCGGCCCCCCAAAGUGCUGGAUUACAGACGUGAGCCACCACACCCUGCCCAGUCUCUUUUUUUCUGGAAGUUUUAAGAUACUCGACGCAUGCCUUUGGCUUUGUUCAGCCAAAAAGGACUAUUAAAUGGAAAAAAGCAAGGAGGCACUACAUUAUGUUUUAAAGCUCACACUGAAGUUAACCUCAAGAACUAGAAAGUACAGAAAACAAGGCUUUCCCUACAUUAAGCAGGAAGAUCAGCAAACACAGGUUCGAAACAGGAAAGCACUGAACACCCGAUGGCUGCCUGAGAGAAACAUCCCAGGACACACUGACCCAUGUGACAGCACGUGCCACUCAGACGAGGUGUCAGCAACGGAGACAGAAUGAGGAAACGGAGACCAAGGUGACGUCGGCAGUGGCCGCUGAUGCCUGCUCCAGGUGGGGUGGUGGUGGCCAUGGGCUCUGCGAAUCCCAGGCUCAAUGGCAACACUGAGGUGGGAGGAGGGAAAGGGACACUUGCUGGUGUCUGGCUUUCCUCUUGGGCAUCAGCUUCCAGCCCUUCAGCCUGAGCUCACCAACUUCCAUGGGUGGGCCCUGCUUGACUCCCCCAGCCUGUCAGCGUGUCGCCUCCCCUCUGCCACACUGGGCUGCUUCACAACUCAGGACGGGAUGUGAGCUAUUAGGGAACCAGGCUUCCUGAUUUCCAGAGGCCAUCAGUGUGGAAGGGUGCAGGCCUGGGAGCCACCUUUGUGAGCAGGCAGGGAGAGCAGGUGGGAGUGUGAAGCCAGCACCGAGGAAGGAAGCAGAGCUGGGAAACGGUGUUAAGGGACAUGCGUGCAUGCACGCGGUCCACGGCCUAGGCUCUGCCUUUGGGCCCUACCCACCGACUGUGUAUGUGAGCCCCCACAUUUGCAUUUAACAAUUUAACACCAGGCACCUGUCUCCUGCAGUGAUGCAGGCUCGGGACCUCCAGAGCAGCGGGCAGGAUGACACCCUGAACCUGCACUUCAUCUCCUGGCUGCUUUAUUCUGUCAAUUGACUUCUGUAAUACAAUUUCCAUAUGGUGACACUGCCUUCCAAAACAGUUAGAGCUUAUUCUCAGUAUUCUUCAUUGGCAGUGGAAAAUGCUUCAGUACUUUAUUGAAAGAAAGCAAUAAAUAAUACUGUGAUAAAAAUAGUUCAAAAGUAGACUGUACAUACUUUGUUACAUAAUCAGGAAGUUGACAAAAGAUUAAUAGAAAAACAGAACAGUAACAAUGAAUUGUACAAGUAAAUUAAAAGCAGAAACCAACUGAAAAGACAGGCUGCCUCUGUCUCUGGAUCUGCUGCACAAUAAAUACCACGCCAUGGUCUGACACA
Long non-coding RNA from Pan troglodytes (chimpanzee), 2211 nucleotides. RefSeq lists it as uncharacterized. The record is from RefSeq and is a predicted model, not a curated record. NCBI's taxonomy places the organism in Eukaryota, Metazoa, Chordata, Mammalia, Primates, Hominidae. The transcript has 2 exons.